AGGCCAUCCACUCAGAAGCUGAUCAUUACCCAAGCAUCAGCAAACCUAAGGCAGUAUACCUGGCAUUUCUUCCCUACCUAAUGGAGAGUGCUCUGCUAGUCCAGGUUUCCAAGUCACCCUCUCUUCUCCUCACAGUCUCACAGUCUUCUCCACCCCAGCAUUUGCUACCUUCAAACACCUUGCCAGUUCUCCAGUGUCCUGAAUCUUUACCUCAAAUGAAGGAAAAUGAGAUAACUGGCUAUGGAAUCCAAAAACCUGGAUUUACUUUUCUUGUGAUUUUGGAAAAAUAAAUCUUUUUUGAUCAUGGAUCUCA
This is a long non-coding RNA of Antechinus flavipes (yellow-footed antechinus), 313 nucleotides long. RefSeq lists it as uncharacterized. The transcript has 2 exons. The record is from RefSeq and is a predicted model, not a curated record. NCBI's taxonomy places the organism in Eukaryota, Metazoa, Chordata, Mammalia, Dasyuromorphia, Dasyuridae.